AAGCUUAAAGUCUAAAACCUGCUUUCCAGCUAACAUGUCCUGAAAGACCACUACCUUCAUUUAAUAGAAAAAUACCUCACUCUCUACAGAGCCCUAGAUGUUAUCUUCCUUCUGGGAAACCCAUGUGCCCCGACCUUCUUUAUGGCUUUUGGGAUAGGUUGGCUGGGGAACUCUGCUCCAUAUCAUCCUUAAUCAAGGAGCCAGAGCUCAAGAAGGUCAAGGAACUCCUGAUCUCCACUUUAAGCUAUGCCAUCUGGGA
RNAcentral lists this long non-coding RNA (259 nucleotides) under Canis lupus familiaris (dog). RNAcentral's name for it is "lncRNA (ENSCAFG00000053069.1)". The record is from RNAcentral. Lineage: Eukaryota; Metazoa; Chordata; Mammalia; Carnivora; Canidae.